GGGGAACCUGCGGCUGGAUCACCUCCUUUCUAGAGCGAAAGGUUACUGAAAGCGCCUACAACCUAUCGGUUGUUUACCCAGACAGACAGCGGGUCUGUAGCUCAGCUGGUUAGAGCAUCGUCUUGAUAAGGCGGGGGUCGUUGGUUCGAACCCAACCAGACCCACCACGAGAUCGCUGCGCGCAGGUGAGCGACGAUGAUCGAGGCUUGAGGGGGCAUAGCUCAGUUGGGAGAGCGCCUGCUUUGCAAGCAGGAGGUCGUCGGUUCGAUCCCGUCUGCCUCCACCAAAGAAGAAGCGAUAUCAAAGCGGGAGCGCUUUGAUAUCGGUUUUUUUACCGACAAGGCUGUUUGGAUCUUUAACAAUUUGGAAGAAGUAAAGUGUUCGAUCCAGGGAACUGGGUCGUACAUGGGUUGUGAUUGCAUUCUUCGGCGUCGUGUGCGAACCAGCCGCGACGUUGAAAACAAGCGCGAGUUGCACCUGUAGCGUGGGAUCCGGGAACGGAGCUCAAGGUUAUAGGGUCAAGCGACUAAGUGCAUGU
This 538-nucleotide transfer RNA is filed under the name uncultured bacterium. RNAcentral describes it as "partial may contain 16S ribosomal RNA, 16S-23S ribosomal RNA intergenic spacer, and 23S ribosomal RNA". The stretch from base 211 to 283 matches the Rfam family "tRNA". The record is from RNAcentral.